GUGGGGAGCAACAGGAUUAUAUACCCUGGUAGUCCACGCCGUAAACGAUGAAUGCCAGCUGUUGGGGUGCUUGCACCGCAGUAUCGCAGACUAAAGCUUUUAACAUUCCCCCUGGGGAGUACGGGCCCAAAAGUAAAAAUCAAAAGAAUUUACGGGGGCCCCCACAAACGGUGGAGCAUGUGGUUUAAUUCCAAACAAAGCGCAAAAACUUACCAUCCUUUUACAUGUCGUGUAACCCAGAGAGAUUUGGGGUCCAUUUGGGUGGAACCCACACAGGUGCUGCAUGGUUGUCCUCACCUCUUGUCGUGAGAUGUUGGGUUAAGUCCCGCAAGGAGCGCAACCCACGUCUUUAGUUGCCAUCAUUCAGUUGGGCACUCUAGGGAGACUGCCGGUGAUAAACCGAGAGAAAGGGGUGGAUAAUUUAAAUUCUUAAGGCCCCUUAGGGGAUGGGAUACACACGUGUUACAAUGUCGGUAACAGUGGUACGCGAAGGAGCGAUUUGGAGCAAAUCCCCAAAAGCCGUUUCAGUUCGGAUUGCACUCUGCAACUCGAGUGCAUGAAGGCGGAAUCGCUAGUAAUUGUGGAUCAGCAUGCCACGGUGAAUACGUUCCCGG
This 614-nucleotide ribosomal RNA is filed under the name Methylobacterium sp. P.91. RNAcentral describes it as "bacterial SSU rRNA". It matches the Rfam family "Bacterial small subunit ribosomal RNA", at positions 761 to 1377 of the family's 1533-position model. Lineage: Bacteria; Pseudomonadati; Pseudomonadota; Alphaproteobacteria; Hyphomicrobiales; Methylobacteriaceae. The record is from RNAcentral.